GACGAACGCUGGCGGCGUGCUUAACACAUGCAAGUCGAACGGAAAGGCCCUGCUUUUGUGGGGUGCUCGAGUGGCGAACGGGUGAGUAACACGUGAGUAACCUGCCCUUGACUUUGGGAUAACUUCAGGAAACUGGGGCUAAUACCGGAUAGGUGCUCCUGCUGCAUGGUGGGGGUUGGAAAGUUUCGGCGGUUGGGGAUGGACUCGCGGCUUAUCAGCUUGUUGGUGGGGUAGUGGCUUACCAAGGCUUUGACGGGUAGCCGGCCUGAGAGGGUGACCGGCGACAUUGGGACUGAGAUACGGCCCAGACUCCUACGGGAGGCAGCAGUGGGGAAUAUUGCACAAUGGGCGGAAGCCUGAUGCGGCAACGCCGCGUGCGGGAUGACGGCCUUCGGGUUGUAAACCGCUUUCGCCUGUGACGAAGCGUGAGUGACGGUAAUGGGUAAAGAAGCACCGGCUAACUACGUG
This 468-nucleotide ribosomal RNA is filed under the name uncultured bacterium. RNAcentral describes it as "partial 16S ribosomal RNA". It matches the Rfam family "Bacterial small subunit ribosomal RNA", at positions 28 to 507 of the family's 1533-position model. The record is from RNAcentral.